Molecule: ribosomal RNA, 1491 nt
Filed under: Romboutsia hominis
Lineage: Bacteria; Bacillati; Bacillota; Clostridia; Peptostreptococcales; Peptostreptococcaceae
Description: 16s_rRNA
Source: RNAcentral
AGGUGAUCCAGCCGCACCUUCCGAUACGGCUACCUUGUUACGACUUCACCCCAGUUAUUGAUUUCACCUUCGACGGACGCUUCCAAAAGGUUAGCUAUCCGGCUUCGGGCGCCCCCAACUUCCGUGGUGUGACGGGCGGUGUGUACAAGACCCGGGAACGCAUUCACCGCAGCAUUCUGAUCUGCGAUUACUAGUAACUCCAGCUUCAUGUAGGCGAGUUUCAGCCUACAAUCCGAACUGAGAAUGGCUUUAAGGGAUUAGCUCCACCUCACGGUUUGGCUGCCCUCUGUACCACCCAUUGUAGCACGUGUGUAGCCCUAAGCAUAAGGGGCAUGAUGAUUUGACGUCAUCCCCACCUUCCUCCAGGUUAUCCCUGGCAGUCCCUCUAGAGUGCCCAACUUAAUGAUGGCAACUAAAGGCAAGGGUUGCGCUCGUUGCGGGACUUAACCCAACAUCUCACGACACGAGCUGACGACAACCAUGCACCACCUGUCACUUCUGUCCCCGAAGGGAAAGAUGCGAUUAGGCAUCGGUCAAAAGGAUGUCAAGCUUAGGUAAGGUUCUUCGCGUUGCUUCGAAUUAAACCACAUGCUCCGCUACUUGUGCGGGUCCCCGUCAAUUCCUUUGAGUUUCACUCUUGCGAGCGUACUUCCCAGGCGGAGUACUUAAUGCGUUAGCUGCGCCACCGAAGGGGGUAACCUCCGACAGCUAGUACUCAUCGUUUACGGCGUGGACUACCAGGGUAUCUAAUCCUGUUUGCUCCCCACGCUUUCGUGCCUCAGCGUCAGUUACAGUCCAGAGAGCCGCCUUCGCAACUGGUAUUCCUCCUAAUAUCUACGCAUUUCACCGCUACACUAGGAAUUCUACUCUCCUCUCCUGCACUCAAGUCUUACAGUUUCAAGAGCUUACUACGGUUGAGCCGUAGCCUUUCACUCCUGACUUGAAAGACCGCCUACGCACCCUUUACGCCCAGUAAUUCCGGAUAACGCUAGCCCCCUACGUAUUACCGCGGCUGCUGGCACGUAGUUAGCCGGGGCUUCCUCCUCAAGUACCGUCAUUAUCUUCCUUGAGGACAGAGCUUUACGACCCGAAGGCCUUCAUCGCUCACGCGGCGUUGCUGCAUCAGGCUUUCGCCCAUUGUGCAAUAUUCCCCACUGCUGCCUCCCGUAGGAGUUUGGACCGUGUCUCAGUUCCAAUGUGGCCGAUCACCCUCUCAGGUCGGCUACUGAUCGUCGCCUUGGUAAGCCGUUACCUUACCAACUAGCUAAUCAGACGCGGGUCCAUCCUGUACCGCAAAAACUUUGAUAAGAAAGCCAUGCGACUCUCCCAUAUUAUCUCGUAUUAGCAUACCUUUCGGUAUGUUAUCCGUGUGUACAGGGCAGGUUACCCACGCGUUACUCACCCGUCCGCCGCUCUUUACCGAAGUAAAUCGCUCGACUUGCAUGUGUUAGGCACGCCGCCAGCGUUCAUCCUGAGCCAGGAUCAAACUCU